This 558-nucleotide long non-coding RNA is filed under the name Mytilus galloprovincialis (Mediterranean mussel). Lineage: Eukaryota; Metazoa; Mollusca; Bivalvia; Mytilida; Mytilidae. The record is from RNAcentral.
GUUAGAAUUUUUGAUAUUUUAGCUGUUUCCAUGGUAACGGCAGCCAUUUUGAAAAUUCCAAAGUCAAACUGGAAAUCAGCACAUGCCAGUUAACAUUCCUGUGGAGUUUCUUCCAGUUUGGAACACUUUGAUUUUUUUCGCAUUUGUGCUGUUUCCAUGGAAACGGCGGCCAUCUUUUACCAUUCCAUAGCAAGGUGCACAACUUUACAUGGGGGUCCUCAUUAUAGUAAAGUUCCAUCAACAUUGGUCCAUUGGAUUCCGAGAAACACGACGGACAAAAUGUGUGGAAGAAGAAAAAGAAAAAUAAGAAAAAAAAGAAACGUAGAAUAACAAUAUGUAAGAUAAAAAUGUCAGGGUGACAUAAUAAUAAUAAUAAGAAAAAAAAGAAACGUAGAAUAACAAUACGUCACCCCAACUCCGUUGAGGGUGCCAUAAAAAGAAACGUAGAAUAACAAUAUGUCACCCCAACUCCGUUGAGGGUGCCAUAAUAAGGAAAAAAAGAAACGUACAAUAACAAUACGUCACCCCAACUCCGUUGAGGGUGCCAUAAAAAGGAAA